Molecule: ribosomal RNA, 259 nt
Filed under: Mantidactylus catalai
Lineage: Eukaryota; Metazoa; Chordata; Amphibia; Anura; Mantellidae
Description: partial 16S ribosomal RNA
Source: RNAcentral
GACCCCAUGGAGCUUUAAACCCAAUUAUAUCUCUAACCACUAUAACCAUUUAACCGCUUAGAACUUAUAUACUUGGUUUUAGGUUGGGGCGACCACGGAGCACAGCCAAACCUCCACGAUGAACGGAACAACCCCCUUAUCUGAGAAUUACGCUUCUAAGAAUUAGCACACUAACAUAAAAUGACCCAUUAUUGAUCAACGAACCAAGUUACCCUGGGGAUAACAGCGCAAUCCAUUUUAAGAGCCCCUAUCGACAAAU